AUUUUUUAAAUGUUUAUAUUAUUUGAAUAAAACAUUCAAAUAAUAUAAAAAAUAAUAUAUAUAUUGACAUGGAUUAAACAAAGAUAUAUAUUAUUCUAUGUUGUAUAAACAAAUUGGCAAAAUAGAGAUGGAAGAUAAAAAUAUGGUCAAAGUAAUAAGAGUCUAUGGUGAAUGCCUAGGAGCUUUAAGGCGAAGAAGGUCGUGGUAAGCUGCGAAAAGCUUGGGGGAGAAGCAAACAUUUAUUGAUCCCAAGAUUACCGAAUGGAGUAAUCCAGCUAGCAAGAUG
RNAcentral lists this unclassified non-coding RNA (286 nucleotides) under Borreliella afzelii. Its description in RNAcentral is "partial contains 5S-23S ribosomal RNA intergenic spacer and 23S ribosomal RNA". The stretch from base 145 to 286 matches the Rfam family "Bacterial large subunit ribosomal RNA", at positions 1 to 142 of the family's 2925-position model. The record is from RNAcentral. Lineage: Bacteria; Pseudomonadati; Spirochaetota; Spirochaetia; Spirochaetales; Borreliaceae.